RNAcentral lists this ribosomal RNA (775 nucleotides) under uncultured Neocallimastigales. RNAcentral describes it as "partial large subunit ribosomal RNA". It matches the Rfam family "Eukaryotic large subunit ribosomal RNA", at positions 24 to 646 of the family's 3401-position model. The record is from RNAcentral. Lineage: Eukaryota; Fungi; Neocallimastigomycota; Neocallimastigomycetes; Neocallimastigales.
UAUGUGAUCGUCUCUCGCAUAUCAAUAAGCGGAGGAAAAGAAACUAACAAGGAUUCCCCUAGUAACGGCGAGUGAAGCGGGAAGAGCUCAAAUUUGAAAUCUUAAAGGGUUUCCCUUUACGAAUUGUAGUUUAAAGAAGUGUUUUCUGUUGAGGUUUUGGUAAAAGUUCUUUGGAAUAGGACAUCAUAGAGGGUGAGAAUCCCGUAUUUGACCUUUACUUUCAACUUUGUGAUACACUUUCAAAGAGUCGGAUUGUUUGGGAAUGCAGUCCAAAAUGGGUGGUAAAUUUCAUCUAAAGCUAAAUAUUGGCGAGAGACCGAUAGCGAACAAGUACCGUGAGGGAAAGAUGAAAAGAACUUUGAAAAGAGAGUUAAACAGUACGUGAAAUUGUCAAAAGGGAAGCGUUUGACACCAGUGUUGUUUUUCUGAAAAUCAAUUAAAGAACUGUUUAUGCUAAGCUGUUUAGACUUUAUCAGCUAAUCUGUUUAGUUUUGAGCUUUUCUUUAAUGCACUUUUCAGUUAACAAGUCAACAUCAAUUUCUUUUGCUGUAAAAAAGCGUGAGGAAGGUGGCUUGAGAUUCGUCUUAAGUGUUUAUAGCCUCUUGCCUAUGCAGUCGAAGAGAUUGAGGUCUGCAGCGUAGAUCCUUCGGGGCUAAAUGCAUUUGUGCUAAGUUAUAACAUUUUAUAGACAACUUGUUGACUAUGAUUUGUCUUGUAGCUUACUCGCUUAUGUUAUUUUACCUACGCUUAGGAUGUUGACACACGCGCGUGCUCG